RNAcentral lists this ribosomal RNA (468 nucleotides) under uncultured bacterium. RNAcentral describes it as "partial 16S ribosomal RNA". It matches the Rfam family "Bacterial small subunit ribosomal RNA", at positions 28 to 507 of the family's 1533-position model. The record is from RNAcentral.
GAUGAACGCUGGCGGCGUGCUUAACACAUGCAAGUCGAACGGAAAGGCCCUACUUUUGUUGGGUGCUCGAGUGGCGAACGGGUGAGUAACACGUGAGUAACCUGCCCUUGACUUUGGGAUAACUCUAGGAAACUGGGGCUAAUACCGGAUAGGAGCUUCUGCUGCAUGGUGUGGGUGGGAGAGUUUCGGCGGUGGGGGAUGGACUCGCGGCUUAUGAGCUUGUUGGUGGGGUUGUGGUAUACCAGGGUUUAGACGGGUAGCCGGCCUGAGAGGGUGAGCGGACACAGUGGGACUGAGAUAGGGCACAGACUCAUACGGGAGGCAAGAGUGGGAAAUAUUACAAAGUGGGCGGACGUGAGAUACAGAAGCGGCGCGUGCGGGAAGAGCGCUUUCGGGGUAUAAACCGCUUUCGCGUGAGACGAAGCGUUAGUGACGGUACUGGGUAAAGAAGCACCGGCUAACUACGUG